GUGUUAGAUUCUUCAAAUAUUUAGAAAGUCACAUUACAAAAUUAUGAUACUAAGUUGUCUUCCAAAUUAAAAAUGUUUUGUUGUUAGUUUCUCCCCCUAACUUCUAUCCUCUAUUCUUCUGUAUUGCUUUCUAAAUCAAAGAGGAAAUUAUUGCAUUCUAUUGCAAUAUUUCCUUUCAGAGACUGGUCAAGAUGUGAAGAUGGCUAUGUGGAAGAGAGCAUAUUGGGUUCUUGGUGAUCUUCUUGUGCUAAGUGCUUUCCCAAUCCAAUUGCUAAACUUGCUUAGUGCUCAGGGUAGGCCAGUGACUGUGAACUCCGAAUUUCAAAUCCCUGAUUGUGUUGGCUAUCAUAUCUGGCUUUUUCAUGAUUGUCUUGCUUUUCAUUUCUAACUUAUCCAUGGCUUUUCCUGCUGUAUAGCGCAAUUUUCACAUUCUUUGUUCAUCCUGUCUCGGGACCUUUUCUUAGGGUUCAACAAGAAGAGAUAUUGGCUUUUCUCUAGGCAAUCGUUUAGUAUAUCUGCAAAGGAGCACUCUAAUUCCUUCAGUAGUUCACUCACAUCAGUUCGUUCAUUGCACUCAAUGCUGUUGCAUAACUUGUACACUGCGAGGCCUGAUGCUGCUGCUUUCCAGUCAAUGGUGCCGUUGCAUCCAACACUCUUCCAGUGGUUUCAUUGGCCUUCUUUUUCUUUCUCAUCUUUAGUGAUAUAAUAUUGAAACUUCAGGAGGGUUUUACUUUUUGAGGUUAUCCAAUGCUGGACGAACGCAUCCAGGUGUUGCAUAUCUGAAUUUCCUAGCAAGAAGGUGGCCAUUCUUCAGUUUCCUUUGCAAGACACCGAAGUACCUUUCCGCUGCUUGGCUGGUGAUUCCGUCGGCUUCCUUGUCCGUCUCUUCAAUGAAAUCUAUCUUUUCCCAUGUCUGAGAAUAUGCCACCAAACAAUCCUUAGCGGCCUUUGGAAGAGAAGAAAGGAUGAGAGUCGGAACAGUAUUCCUUGUCGACUUCAGCAUGAAUUGUAGAGAGAUGAACGCUGAUACUGAGCAGAGACGCGGCUGUAAUUUUCCAUGACUUUCUACUCACGGCUGCGAAAUGCUCUUCCACAGGUACUUUAUCCGUUUGGGAUUUGUCAGGCUCUAUGCACCGCCGGCGUAGAUCAUAUUGUGGUCUCUUGUUAGCCAGAAAGUGUACCAGAUGUUCACACUUUUAUUCACCAUCUUGAUUGCCUUGUAUGAUUAGGUUGUUAGCCUUUGCAAAGGACUCCAGGCUACCCAACCAAAGUUCUUGCGGAGUCCCCCAUAACAUCUGAACGCCCUUUAUUAUUUUCCGUAUUUUGGAUAGUCUUCAAAUGCACAUAGUUCGUAUUUUCAUAAUCAUCAAACAUGCUAGUCCACAAGCUUUGCCGAAAGAAACCGUGAGCCGCUGCAGUCCAAUCACGGCAGACAAUAAUUUUCUUGGUGAACUGAGUGUAAUCUCCUCUUUGACAACCAGUCCUUAAUUUGAUUAUGGCUAGAAACAAUUGUCCGAAAUGUCUCAGGUUUUCUGUCCAGAAAUCCUCUAUCCUAAAACCGCUACGCUAGCUGUCCGAUUUUCAUCUUUUGCAUAAACCCACUGCUGUAGCCCACCUCCAAUCGAUACGAUGAAGAUGAAUACAGAUUGCAGCAAAGUGGUAGUAUAUCUUUAUAAUAGCAUAAAUGUGCCCAUCUUCACGGUGUGGAUAUUCCUAACCUCACCCAGGAUCGUAAUCACUGUUUGAAUUGUAACAAAGGAGGCCAAGGCCGAGCUGGCAAUGAUAUGUUAAAGGGAGUAAAUGCGAGCAACACUCCAUGCAUAUUCUACUGUCCGCCAGCAGUAUGAAUAAUGACGGUGGUGUUGUUCUUCUCCCUUAUCCUCUCUGAACAGUGAGUGCAUGUAAGUGCUGGGUGUUUCUCCUCCACUCUCUGCACAUCUUCAACUAUCCGCCAACAAGUCGAAUGGUGAUCUUUAUCUUGUCCGCCAACAGGAGUGAUCAUGAUGGCAACCCUCCUCCCUCUUCUGGGCUCUCUGAACAACUUUUUCAAAUACAAUGUAGGGGGUCUAUUCGGCAAUAGUUCUAAUAUAGUAUGUGUUUUGUCUUCUUUUAUCAUUGAUGUAAUAGUUUAGUAUUUUAGGCAUACCUUUAAGGGAAAGUAACAUGUAAUGCAGUAAGGAUAGGUGCACCAGGAAAGAAGUAUGCAUUGUAAUUACACUAAAUGAUGAAUAAUGGAAGCCAUAUAAAGUGCAUGCUACA
Cryptomeria japonica (Japanese cedar) is the source of this 2259-nucleotide long non-coding RNA. RefSeq lists it as uncharacterized. Lineage: Eukaryota; Viridiplantae; Streptophyta; Pinopsida; Cupressales; Cupressaceae. The transcript has 2 exons. The record is from RefSeq and is a predicted model, not a curated record.